RNAcentral lists this transfer RNA (97 nucleotides) under Belgica antarctica. RNAcentral's name for it is "tRNA-Tyr for anticodon GUA". It matches the Rfam family "tRNA". From Rfam's summary of the family: Transfer RNA (tRNA) molecules are approximately 80 nucleotides in length. Their secondary structure includes four short double-helical elements and three loops (D, anti-codon, and T loops). Further hydrogen bonds mediate the characteristic L-shaped molecular structure. tRNAs have two regions of fundamental functional importance: the anti-codon, which is responsible for specific mRNA codon recognition, and the 3' end, to which the tRNAs corresponding amino acid is attached (by aminoacyl-tRNA synthetases). tRNAs cope with the degeneracy of the genetic code in two manners: having more than one tRNA (with a specific anti-codon) for a particular amino acid; and 'wobble' base-pairing, i.e. permitting non-standard base-pairing at the 3rd anti-codon position. Lineage: Eukaryota; Metazoa; Arthropoda; Insecta; Diptera; Chironomidae. The record is from RNAcentral.
CCUUCGAUAGCUCAGUUGGUAGAGCGGUGGACUGUAGCGGUUGUGAAAUGUUAACGCAGAUAUCCAUAGGUCGCUGGUUCAACUCCGGCUCGAAGGA